Heterocephalus glaber (naked mole-rat) is the source of this 1051-nucleotide long non-coding RNA. The record is from Ensembl. Lineage: Eukaryota; Metazoa; Chordata; Mammalia; Rodentia; Bathyergidae.
GUAGGUGCAAUGAUGCCAGCUAGCUCAGAAGCUUGAGAAAAUUCAAUGAGACAAUCAUAGAAAGACAUUUAUUAGAGUACCUGGGAUAGUGAACUUUCACAAAUCUGACAAAUUUUGGAUCAUUUGUUUUCCUUUCAGGAUGCACUCUCUAUUCUUACUCUAGUGUUUAGGUGCCCUGGGAGGACUUGAAGCAACAGAGACUUUUAAUACACUAAGGAUGGCCUACUCCUGCAAUCUGAAAGCCCUAGGGCCAGGGCCUAGAGAACAACCAGUCUCUGAAGGAGUUACAGUAUUUGGCUGUUGGGCAGAGGCCAGGGGAAAUUGGAGUAUCCAGGGAAAAAGUAGGAUGAUAAAGUAUCUGACAGAAGAGAGCUUCAAGUGGAAGUUUUUGUACAGUAUUUACCAAGACUCCACGCUGUUAUCUUUGGUCUUGUGUGACUCUUACUGAUCCUUCUGAAGAAUCAUACAUAAAUCCUUCUUCUAUUGGACUACUGGGCAUAGACCAUCAGAAAUAGUUAAAAGAGAAAACUCCAAGGAUAUGCAUAACUGAUCUGGGAAUUGGGGGGUUAGACUGAUGGAUUUUUCAAAGCAAGGGUCACCCCAAAAGGACUGAAGAACGUGACACAAGGAGAAAAGAUUGGGCUGAUCUGAUGAUGACCAAUAUCUUCUUCUGGAAAUGAUGGAAAAUGAAGGGAACAAGAAUAUAAGAAUAUUUCAGAUCAAAAAUCAGAAAUAAAGAAUGACAGCUUUCUAUCAGGUAUAAGGCUGUGGCUUUGUAGAAAACUCUGGAGGACUCCCUUCAAGGUUGCAGGGCUCACCUGCAAGUGGAAUCAAUCAGUGCUCAGCUCUCCAAGAAGCAAAUGAAAGUGACAAAUGUAUGCCACAUGCUCAGGACAAAGAACCAGGUGAAGAUCACUACUUGAUAUAAAACUACUAACAAGAGAGAUAUUUGCAUGUAUGCAAUAAAGUCAGAGGUAGACAAUUAAAUUUGUCAAUUUAGAUCCUUCAAGGGUCAGUAGGACAGAUUUCAUGAAAGCUCAUAAGAAAGGAG